UGGAAGAGUAGUUUUAAACUGUCCUGGAAUGUAUUUGAAUACUCCAGUACACAUGAAGGUCCAUGUCCAAUCUGCAUAUUAAUUUUUAUUCACCCGUUCUAGCAAUAAGGACAAUAUGCUUAUUUUUGAUGCCAAAGGCUAUUAUGAAGCAUAAGAUAUGGUCCAAAAAUCACAGCAGUUUCAUACAAGUGACUCAAUUUUGAAGGAAUAAUUGAGAGAGAAAGCUACAUUUCUUCCAAAAAUGCCAGGCCCAGUGGUUCUUUUCAGCCCUGUGUACAGAGACGGGUUCAGACAAUGGUCUCACUUCUAAGCUGUAUGUAUUCUUGCCUUUUCCAGGACUCUGCUUUGGUUUGCUGCUCAUGGCGAGGAGUUCUGCAAAGCACAGAUGUGGCUGGCAAAGUGGGGAACAAAGCUUGGGUAGAGGAGAUAACACAGCAGCCUUUCAGUUGUCCUGAAGGAACCAGUUAUGGCCUGACUGUGUGUCAGUGGGGUGCCUGCUGUAGUCUGCCUGGCACUGCAGGGCAGAUUCCUGACUCACUGGUGAAGAUUAUAGGCUUAUCACCAUAUUGGAUGUCCCUAAAGGAGCCAGUAGAUUCACAUUAUCAGCCGUGUGACAGUGAAUAUUCUCUGUUUGGAUGGUAGGAUAGCUUUUGUUUGUGGUAUAAGCAAUCAAUGGGCUGAGUUGUCUGUCACAGAUUUAUUUCCUGCCUGGGAAGCUAGUCUCAAGUGAGUUGUUGGUGCCCUUCUACACAGAAUGAAAUUUGCGCAUGAAAUUCAAGUCUAGGCAUGUGUAGAACAUCCUAGGAAAAACUAAAUUGUAUUUCUUUUUGGCAAAUUCAACCUUAAGAUGUACUUUAUUCCAGCAAAAAACCUGUUUAGUGACAAAGGAAUCCUGGUUAGCUACCCAAAGUCUAUGUCAUUUUUCUCCACAAAACAGAUAAUUCUCAGUGUUUCAUACAUUGUGAGAUCAGCUCUUAGAGCCCUGAGUUGGAUGAUUUGAAACCUCAAUAAACCUUUCAGAUACAUAAAAAGGCCCCUGGGCUCCCUGGUGCUUCCUCCAUGGACUGGUCCUUCAGGAGUGGGCAUGAGAAUGAGACUGCCAUAAGAAAACAAUGGGGAAGAAGACUUUGUCCUCCUCAUGGCUAGAAGCCAUCCCUGGCAGAUAGGAACUUCAGCUUGCAAAAGAGAACCGUGCUCUGAAAAAGAGUAAUGUCUUUUAAGCUGGACAAGUACUAUGGAAAACAUCAACCUCUUAUUCGAGUAAUAAUCGACCUCUUCAGUAAUCUUUCUGCUGCACUUUUUGGCUGGUAGAAAAUGAAGGUGCUUCCACUUCUAGUGUUUUGCAUGCCAUCUCAAAGGGAUGCUGAGUGAUGCAAUAUACAAAUCCCACUGCUACAGAGAUGAUGAAUGCUUGAAAGAUAAAUAUGCUGCCUAUCAAUACCUUCGAGAAAUGCCAGACUUGGAAGGAAAGCUCCAAAGGGGAAAAAAUUACCCACGUGCUGACAGAUCAGGCUUUCAUUUCCCAUCUGCUAAUGAGAAAUGAGAUGAAGGUGAUAACUACUUGAGAGAUGGUUGUAUUUUGAUCCCCUUCCUGAGGAAAGGAAGAUGUAAUGUAUUAUAGUUCCUUACUUUAGCUUGCACUUCCUUAGUCCUGGGAGUGUUAAGCAAGGUUUCCACAUGAACUGCACUGUAGUUCUAGCACAUUGAGGCUCUAUGACAAAUACCUUUGUGUAUGCACUCAAGGAUGGAUUUAGAUCACCUCUUUCAAUCCUGCAAAUCUAUCCAAGCCCAUGGUGCCAGCUUCUGUACCCCAAUCUUUUGUAUUCACAGUGCAGCUCAACGGCUUCCUGCUUGAGGGACAACUCAGUAUGCUGUUUUCUGAAACCCAGGAAAAAGCUUUGGUGUUACCCUGGACUUUUCUGGAAGGUGUAUUUCUUUGGUAGUAGCCUGACAUCAAUCUCCUCCAUGACAUUCUUCUUGGUUUAUUUUUCAAACCAUUCCAAAAACCUCAGCUGCAUGACUUGGACAUUGUCAAAUGGCUCUCGUGUUAAUAAGCCAGGAGGUUUGUCAAGCAUAUAAGUAAAUUACAUUUUUGCCAGUCUUGGUUCUGUAAAAAUAUUUCAGUCUUCUGUCCCCUAGCUCAAAAUCUGCUCAUAAAAUUUCUUCAUGGAAACCACAUUAUCAUGAUUCAGAAAGGAGGUAUUUAUUUGAAAGAGAUUUCUUAUAAUGCUAUUAAGCUAGAAUAGGCCAAAGUUAGAAUGAAAUUAUUAAUCAGGCUCUAUUUUACUAAUACGUAUGGUCCCAUUGAUUUUAAUAGAAUUACAUGACUUAUUGAAAUAAGCAAAUUCUCCCUGAGGUAAACUUUUAAAUUAAAAGUUGAUUGAAAUUUUGGUGUGGGGAACUCUUGAUUGAGUUCGAAAGAUGUAUCUCUGAUUCUGGACUCAUUUUUUUCUCUAAGACUUUUUGUGCUUGUCUACAUAUAUUCUACCCAACAGAGGAGAAAGAGUAUCUCAUUAGAAAAAUGAAAUGUCAGUAUAUUUUUAUAUUUAUUCUCUUUCUUGUUUAUGUGAAAUAAAUUGUUUUAAUGUUUUUUUUUUUAUUGAAAUUACUGUAGAAAGCUAAGUCAAAGUGUUUGCCUUAUUCUUUUGAAUUCAGUCAGUUAUAUUCUUAUCUGCUUUGUGUUAUUUAUUGUUUGAUAUAUUUAAUUUAUAGGAUCUGAAGGCCUGGAUAACGAUGGCAAUCCUACUGUGGUGUUUGCUAAAUCCUGCUUUCAGGAGCAGAGAGUCCAUUUCAUGUCCCCUCCCAACAUCUAUUAUAUGCACAAAUGUAAAGAGUUACAUUCCACAAGUGUAGGGCUAUUCCUGUGCCUGUGGAUGUGAGUGUGUGCUUGCACACUUGCCCUUUCUCAUAUGCAUUUUGCCCUCGCUGUGAGGUGUGCAGUGAGAGAAUUUUAAUCCCAUUUUUUGACCUUUCUGAGAAGGGAAGGUAAAGAGCGGAGGGGGAAGCAUACACACCUGCAGUUUAUUUCCUUUAAAGAGAGGACUUGAAGAUGAUAGAGAUGAGAUAGAAGGAGAAUACUGCCCCUUGCCAGGAGCUUUGUUCACAAUGCAUACAAUGCAUGGUCUGAGAAGCCAACUGGGAAGUGUUGCCUUUGGAAUGAAGAGCAGUAUUGCCAGGGGUCAUGGAGCAGGGAGUGCAAUCGAUUACAGGUAUAAGUCUUAAGAUGGCAGCAGGGAAAACGUUCAGUGACCAAAUCAAUCUGCUAAAUUACCUUUCCUCCAGAUGUGUAUAAUGUUAUUCUUUUAAAGCUGAAUUUGCAUUCAGGUGCUUUAGCUUAGCUGGUUUUGAAGCAGAGAGACUGUCUGUGAGAAGAUAAUUUAGAACAAAGGAUUCACAAGAACACUUAUUUUGCAUGAAAAAUACCUGCCUGGUAUUUGAAAAUGUAACUACAAGGGAAUCCAGAAAUAAGGUGCAAGAAGCAGAAUUUAGUGACUUAGUUGGUGAUAGGUAAUUGAUUAUUAUUUAAAGAGCAUCCCAAGUCCACUGAUGUCAGCGGUAGCUUUUCAGGAGAAAUUUUCCUGGAUCCUUGGUUAACAUCAUCCCCAAUGUGUGGGAAUCAUUUUGACAAUGUCAUUGGAUGCUCUUUAAGGCACUGGACUCCUAAGUAAUUACACUGUUUAUGAAAAUCCUGAUUUAUGCCCACUAUAGAAUGACAUAUUCUGAAUUUCUCUUAUGAACUUCAUGAGUUUUAGUAUGUAAAAACUCAGACUAGGCCAUUUUAACCAUGUAAGGAAAAGAUGCCUCUUUGGCCUUACUUGCUUCUGUCUUUUGUUUGCUCUGUAGGGAGAAGAAAGUGCACAUUGCAAUAAAUUUAAUCCAUUCACUUAUACUUGUCACAUAUUUCUGUAUUCUGUCAUUCAAUUCUGAAAAAAAAAUCAAAUAAAAAACCCCUCUCUUUCGGUAAUGAAAUCUUUUUCAACAGCAGAAAUCCUUUCUUCUUCAAAUUCUGCUUAUGCUAUACUGUGACCUGAUUCUUACUAGUGUGGAGAAAUUCACAGCUCUUUUAUGAUCUAAAGCAGAUCUGAACAUUACAUUCCAAAGAUGAAAGAUGCAUGAACAGCAUCGUGGAGUUCCUGGCAGAAAUCUCUGUCCUCAAUACCCUCUGUCAGGAGAAAUGUUUUCAGCUACAAGACCAAUUUAUGCUCAUCACAAGUGAGGAGUGAAAGUGCUUGCUCCCAGAUGAACUGCAGCAUUCACUGCAGAAAGAUUCACUGGUCAUGUUGGUAUUGUGUAUUUACUCUAAAAGUUUCGACCACAAAGACAAGUUACAGUGUUGAGUUUCAAAUAUUCUUUGAUGGAUCAGUGCAUAUAAAUGUGUUAAUUCUGUCACGAUUUUUGAUGGAAUUCACUCUGCUGAAAGCUAUUAAAUCAGACUGAGUGAAAAGUAGUAUAAAAACAUAAUUCAACGUUACAUCACGUUUUCUGACAUAUUGCAUGAUUUCAAGAUCACUUUGCCAGACAGAUUUCAAUUCCCUUUAAGUCUAACUGCUGAAUAUAUUCUUUGUUAUGACAAGAGCACUAAUGCUUAUGUCAAAGAAAGAUACAAAUGUGAUAGAAAAUGUCAGAAAAGAUUUCUGUUCCUAUACUCUAAAGGUUACACCACAGGAUCUGCUGUGAUCAAAUGUAAAAGUAGUACUUACUGAAAUGCCAUGAACUUCCACAUUUACUUCUUUUUUUAUCAAAAGUAUUCUUACAUGAGAAUACCAGCUGAACUAAUCUUUGAAUUUGUGGAAGAUUUGAUCAUUCUGAUAAUGAUGGAUUUCCUUCAGUGUGAGUACCCACAUGCAAGAGAAAUUUUGUUGCUCUCACAUCCUGUUUUGUAGUAUCCUACAGCUGACAUCUGAAGAGCACAGUAAGUAACCAAUAUAAGAAAUUGUCAACAUUUUGCUGUCUUUAGCAACUAUCCACAGGUGUUACUCUUAUAUAACCUCUGCAGUCAGCUAUGAUAUACAGAGUUAAAUCUCCCUGUUGCUGUAGCCAGGAAAGAAAAAUGUGCUCAAAGCUUUUUUUUUUUUUCUUUGAAAGAAUAACACACUUCAACAAUCAAAGGACUAAAAGCUAAACAGUCACAUAGAACUGUAUUUAAAAUCAUUGGUUUGGGAGUAUGGGGUGUGUGUGAGCGGUUUAUGUAUGGGAGAAAUCCCCUUAACUAAAAGCAUUAGAAAAAUUGAAUGAAUGUAAAAUUCAACAGUUUAAUUGGAUCUUGAGGAAUUAUCUUGGAACCUGCAAACUGGCUUCCAAGCCCUGCUAACUAACUUACCUUCAUCAAAUGCUUAAAGGCUUUCCUCACAUUGUCAAAAGCAUUUUAAGCAAGCACAGCACUCAGCUACAUACCAUGACAAAUUUUGCCUGUAGGCUAUUAAAAUGGCUUUAAACCAGUGAGGCGUGCUCUUAAAUAUAUAAUAUAUAAUAUCUAUAUAUCUAUAUAUCUAUAUCUAUAUAUAUAUGCAUACUUUGUACAUAUUUCAUACUGAGCUGGCUCUCUCCUACCAAGCUGCUUUCUUUGUGGGAUUUGGUUUAUUUGGGGUUUUUUUGGGCUUUUUUUGUGGGUUUUUUUGGUGAUUUUUUUUUAGGGUUUGUUAUUGUUAUUUUUUUUUCUUUUAGCCUUUAUAUCUUCGAAGUCUAGCAGGGUUAUUAAUUAAUGAACUUGUGUAUUUCUGUCCUUAGAUGCUGAAGAGUGAGGAACUGUCAAUCAGCAGGGACCCUCCUGAAUUAGGUAGCACUCAGAGCUCAUUGUGUGCAACUGAGGUCAACUGCCAACCAACCAAGUGCUCUGUCCUGCUCGCACAAAGCUUUCCCUGAAGGCAAGAGAAAAGAAUAAUAAAAGGGGGAAAUGGCCUGCUGAGCAAAGACUCUGAGUCCUUUAUAACAGGAGGUCGUUUUUGAUUAUAGGAAGGAACCUUCAGUGGCCAUGGAAACCAAAAUGCCACACAAAAGCCAGAGGGUGCUUGGGAGGUAAACAAGAUAGAUGAAAGGUGAUGGUGCUUUUAAUCUCCACAAUCAAUGUGUUUAGACACCUAGCAGGAUGAAACAACUGGAAACAAUGGCACUCAGUAAGGAAACCUUUUCCAUCAAGAAGUCUUGGAGCAGUUACGUGAAAACUGGUUUUGAUUUGGCUCUCUGCAACAGACUAUCUAUCCAGCAAAACAAUAUCAAAAAAUUAAAAGGCAAACUGGGAGUGGAAAUCCUGGUCACAGGAUGCAAAAGUGGAACUACAUGAAUAUUUCAGAGACAUCUACAGAUUGUACAGUCAGAAUACCUCCACUACUAUUCUACAAGGAAUAUGCAGCAAGAGACGACAGUGCUUCCACCUAUGAAAAAGCUAUGGACUCCACAGUAUCUGCUCUGGCAUGCCAGCUGGCCUCUCCACACAUGUCUUCUGUCUCUCUCAUCAGCACGUAUGGAACAGAGAUGUGUGCUGUCACCUGGGAAGGAGGAAGAUGCAAAGAUUUUAAAGCAAUAAGCACAAACAUGGGCUCAGCAUUUUGAGAAAGCAUUAAAUACCCCUUCUGUCACCUAAUUUCUUCAGAUGUGAAUUCCUACCCUUUUGCUGGAAAUCUCAAGCAUCCAAAGAGCCAGGCCCAGGCCCUGUUUGGAGCCAUUAGACAGAGAUUGGCACUGCUCCCUCUUCCUGCACCACAUCCUCCGCUGAAAAAAAUGACCAUCAGAUCAGAGAACAGAGCCUGCUUUGUCCCCGGCAACCAAGAUCUGGAAGCACUUUCAAUCAUUUGCACUCUAUACCCACUCAAAUGCAUUAAUGUGAUCAACAUUGGGCCUGUUGUGGGCAUUUUUUCCAGCAAAUAGCUUGCUAACAUUCCAGGCAUGUACUUCCCUGAAAACAAGACCGAGACAGGGCCCUGAAUAUUCAAUUGGAAAAUCACCAAGAGCAAGAGCUUAGCUUGGCACGGCUGGUGUUGAUUCUUAAUAAGUGACUUCCUAAAGCUGAGGCAUGGGGCUUACAGCUUCAAUGACUUGUUUGAAAAAUAUUUUGUAGGUGCCUCAUACCACUUUAUUUCCUGUGGUAUGCGUCAUAUUGUGAGCUAUUCUGAGCCAGGCUGCUUAAGCACACUAACAUUUUUUUCCAAGAUUGCGGUGUUUAACUAAAAAUGUGCUUAUACAAGAUGAGCUCAUAGCUAUUAGUGCUGAUGUAGUUUUAACUACUUGGAUACCAAUACCCCAAGGCCUAAAACCUGCUGAAAAGGGGGGAAAACCUAAGCAAAAACCAUCCUUCACAGUAAUUGAAGGCUUUUUGUAGACAAGACAACUGGAAAAAUAUUUUAAAAUUUGGAUUUUUUUUCCAUAGGGCAUUUGGUGUGCAAAAUACCUUUCAACCACAUUAUAAAAUUUGCUAUUAAAAGACUUACUGAUGUAAAUAGCUGAAGAGAUUUCAGAAACCCACAGAAAAAUAAUUUCUUCAAUGUCCUUUCAUGUGCUACAAAUAUCACUUCCAGCAAAAGCAGUGUAUGUGUGCUUCUCCAGUGCAGCUGGAUGGACUAGGUACAUCCUAAUGUUUUAUUCAUUGGAAUAUAUCUUUCAUUGACGUGGCUACCAUGACGAGGCAAGUUUGACUGUGCUGAAGGGGGUCAGCAAAGAUUUUUGUCUAGGCACGCCAUUGUGGAGAGGGGUGUCUGGCUGUCACAGCACCAUUGUUCAGUGAUGUGCUCUUCUACCAGCCCCAUUCUCCAAGUUGAGGGAAGAUGGCAGCGUUUUGCGUGACACACUUGAAAAGUCAAGGGGUGGGAUUUUUGGAGUUUACCUUGGUGCCUAAAGAGGGCUAUGAACAAUGGGAGGUACCUUAAGGAGGCCUUGUUUCGAGGCCCAUUUUAGAGGAACAGCACUUGUCUAGAUUAUAUCAGGUCAGGUAUAAAGGUAUUGCAAAAAGAAAAUUAAAAUGAAGGGGAUGAAUGUCUAUAUGAAGUUCUAUGACUGUUAAUUUCUAAGCCAGAAUCUGCAUCCUGGACAUAAUCUGCAUCUAGAAGUCCCAUGUAGAAGAGAUAAAAUGGAAAUAAAUGCAUGAAAGAAAAUGGAAAUAAUUAAAAUUUCCCCAAAGGAUGAUAUGUAUAGAUUGAGGGGAAUGAGAAAGGAAACAAUGUGAAAAUAACACAUACCAUGGUCACUUUUUCUAACCCAAACCAUUUAAGAGUCAGGGAUUCAGCUGCAGAAGAACUUAUAUAAACGGACAUUUACAUGUACACAAUUUAUUUUCUUCCAGACUCCUUUUCUGUAUUUCUGUAAAAAAUUACUGAGACAGAAUUUACAGCUGAAAAUGUC
Parus major (Great Tit) is the source of this 8331-nucleotide long non-coding RNA. RefSeq lists it as uncharacterized. The record is from RefSeq and is a predicted model, not a curated record. Lineage: Eukaryota; Metazoa; Chordata; Aves; Passeriformes; Paridae. The transcript has 8 exons.